UCGCUUGACACUGUGGAUAAGUAAUUAUUGCAAUUGCAAUAUAAUAUCUUCGUCUUUUAGGGGGGACAGCGAUAAAGUAAUACAUCAAUAAGAGGAG
Molecule: non-coding RNA, 97 nt
Filed under: Thalassiosira antarctica
Lineage: Eukaryota; Bacillariophyta; Thalassiosirophyceae; Thalassiosirales; Thalassiosiraceae
Source: RNAcentral